This 446-nucleotide ribosomal RNA is filed under the name uncultured bacterium. RNAcentral's name for it is "partial 16S ribosomal RNA". It matches the Rfam family "Bacterial small subunit ribosomal RNA", at positions 354 to 796 of the family's 1533-position model. The record is from RNAcentral.
GUAAGGAAUAUUGGUCAAUGGGGGCAACCCUGAACCAGCCAUGCCGCGUGAAGGAUGAAGGCGUUAUGCGUUGUAAACUUCUUUUGUAUGGGAAGAAUGACAGGGAUUCAUCCUUGGAGAGACGGUACCAUACGAAUAAGCACCGGCUAACUCCGUGCCAGCAGCCGCGGUAAUACGGAGGGUGCAAGCGUUAUCCGGAAUCACUGGGUUUAAAGGGUACGUAGGCGGGCUUGUAGGUCAGGGGUGAAAUCCUACAGCUUAACUGUAGAACUGCCUGUGAUACGAUAGGUCUGGAAUAUUGUUGGGGUGGGCGGAAUACAUCAUGUAGCGGUGAAAUGCUUAGAUAUGAUGUAGAACACCGAUUGCGAAGGCAGCUCACUAAGCAAAUAUUGACGCUGAGGCACGAAAGCGUGGGGAUCAAACAGGAUUAGAAACCCCUGUAGUCC